Molecule: ribosomal RNA, 484 nt
Filed under: uncultured bacterium
Lineage: Bacteria
Description: partial 16S ribosomal RNA
Rfam family: Bacterial small subunit ribosomal RNA
Source: RNAcentral
AUUGAACGCUGGCGGCAGGCCUAACACAUGCAAGUCGAGCGGAUGAAGGGAGCUUGCUCCUGGAUUCAGCGGCGGACGGGUGAGUAAUGCCUAGGAAUCUGCCUGGUAGUGGGGGAUAACGGCCGGAAACGGGCACUAAUACCGCAUACGUCCUGAGGGAGAAUGUGGGGGAUCUUCGGACCUCACGCUAUCAGAUGAUCCUAGGUCGGAUUAGCUAGUUGGUGGGGUAAAGGCCUACCAAGGCGACGAUCCGUAACUGGUCUGAGAGGAUGAUCAGUCACACUGGAACUGAGACACGGUCCAGACUCCUACGGGAGGCAGCAGUGGGGAAUAUUGGACAAUGGGCGAAAGCCUGAUCCAGCCAUGCCGCGUGUGUGAAGAAGGUCUUCGGAUUGUAAAGCACUUUAAGUUGGGAGGAAGGGCAGUAAGUUAAUACCUUGCUGUUUUGACGUUACCAACAGAAUAAGCACCGGCUAACUUCGUG